AAGUAAACCACUAAGAAUAUAAAAUAAUUAAAAUUACUGCUGCGAUGAUGAACAAGUGAUGGAUUUGUGAAAAUUCUAGAAUUUCAAAAUAAUGGUGAAUUAAUUUUAAUUAUUUACUGUUUCUGAUAAUUUUUUAUUUUUAACUUAGAAAUAAAAAUUAGGCUAAAAUAAAAUUAUAAUAAAAUAAUAAGAUAAUCAAGAUCAAUGUGGUAAUUAGUUUUCUGGGAUUUCUGGAAAUUUUGAGUUUUUUUAAGUGAAUUAAUUCCAAUUAUUUAUUAUUUCUAGCAUUCUUUUAUUAUUUAGCUAAAAUUAGGGAUUUGGUCAAAGUAAAAUUACUAAAAUAAUAAAAUACUAAAAAUCAAUAUGGAGAAUGAAUUUCGGUUAUUUCUGAAAUUUUUAAAACUUUAGGUGAAUUAAUUUUAAUUAUCCACUAUUUUUAGUAAUUUUUGAUAUUUAGUCUAAAAAUAGAAAUUAGGCUAAAAUAAAAUCACUAAAAAUAAUAAAAUAAUCAGAAAUAAUAUGAGGAAUGAUUUUCUGAUGGUUAUGUAAUUUAUUUGAGGCUUGGAUGAUAUUUUGAAUAUUGUCUAAAUGAUGACAAAUAAAAAGUUAAGCAAGAAUUUAAGUUAAAAAAUCUUGGGUGAUGUAAUUAAAUUGAAUUAGAUAGAAUAUGAAUGAAAAUGGCUGGACUUGAUGGAUUUAGUGUUUAGAAAUGGUUGAAAUUCACUAAGUAAUUUCGGUCUAUGCUAAAAUAUUAAUGGCAAAUAGAUUUUAAUGAAAAUAGUUAGAAUUUGUGGGCUAAUUUUUGGUUUCAAUGUGUUCAUGGAUGUGUUUAUAGUGUCAAAUUGAUGUGUUAGGUACAUGUCAGAUAUUAUAAAUUGUAGCCAGAAUUAACAAUGGCUUAUUCGAUCUUGUAGAUUGUAUGUAGAAUGUGAAAAUUGAUAUGGAUGUGUAUGGAAAGUGUAUGUAAUGUAUUUCUUAGCGUGAACGAUAUUUUGCACUUAA
RNAcentral lists this long non-coding RNA (1002 nucleotides) under Ricinus communis (castor bean). RNAcentral's name for it is "long non-coding RNA (RCOM_LNC003691)". The record is from RNAcentral. Lineage: Eukaryota; Viridiplantae; Streptophyta; Magnoliopsida; Malpighiales; Euphorbiaceae.